AAGAGAACCCUCGGCGGCAAGAUGGCAGCGGCGGGCGAGGGCACCCCGAGCUCCCGCGGGCCGCGUCGGGACCCGCCUAGGCGGCCGCCCCGGAACGGUCACGGGAAGUUGUUAUUUAAAGAUGGCAGUUAUUACGAAGGGGCGUUUGUGGACGGAGAGAUCACGGGAGAAGGCCGCCGGCACUGGGCCUGGUCAGGAGACACCUUCUCUGGACAGUUUGUUCUGGGAGAGCCUCAAGGCUACGGCGUCAUGGAGUACAAAGCCGGCGGAUGUUAUGAAGGGGAGGUCUCCCACGGCAUGCGGGAAGGACACGGGUUUCUGGUGGACCGGGAUGGACAAGUGUACCAGGGCUCCUUCCAUGACAACAAGAGGCACGGCCCUGGGCAGAUGCUCUUUCAGAACGGUGACAAGUACGACGGCGACUGGGUCCGGGACCGGCGUCAGGGACACGGGGUGCUGCGCUGCGCCGACGGCUCCACCUACAAGCUCUGAUCCACCCAUCUAUAGUAGGAGAAACUCAAGGAGACAUCGGCUGCUACCCAGGCACCAUGAGCUCAGGGUUGGUGAGGCCCCUCCGGGAGACCUGUUCUCCCUCUCGACAGCAGCUUCUUCUGACGGAAAAUAAGAACAGCGGAUCCCAAAGCAGAGAAGGCUCCUCUUCCACAGGGACAGGAGCCACGCGGCUCAGGCCGGUCCCGGAAGCCACAGAGGUCCUGGGCCACGAGCACCCCCACCAGCCUGUGACGCCUCAGCCAUCUCCGUCCCCCACACUCCUAGUUUACAGCUUACUGCUCGACCUCCCAGGACCCGAGGGCUUGGGCAGGCCCCACACGUCCUCCAGAACAUCCUCGGUGGGAGACGGAGCAGACAGAGUAGAGGCCACACGUGUGUGUGCACAUCAGAGUGUCUCCUACCCAUGUUGGCAGCAGCGCGGCCCUCCGGGCAUCCCUGGCUGUAUCAGCUGCGCCGUGAGUGUUGGCUGUCUCACACGCCAGCUUUCCCGGAGUUGCCGCUGGGUGCCGAGCACCUGCUCACUGCACGGAGCAGGUGGCUCCUUCUGGGCGGCUUUGCCUGCCGCAGUCCCCGAGCCUCCUCUCCUCAGCUGGGCGUGUGUGGGAAUGCCCAACCGGGGGCCUCCACGGGGCCUAUAGCCUCCACGUUUGGGCCUACUGCCCUUGGACCCAGGGGUCACAGUCCAGGAAGCCUGGGCCAGUGGGGGACUCCUGGGGUGCAUGUAACACUGAGAAUCAUGUAGAUAAUUUGGGGUGUUUGAGCACGCAUGGCCUGUGGGGAGUCUGGCCGGCUUGCCUCAUGUGGACCCCCCACCACCCUGGGGCAGAGGAGGGGGCCGGCUGUUGGGGCCGUCAUGGAAGCACUAGGGUUACACUAGGGCAGGCCCCAUGUCCCCUCUGGAACUCCUCACAGUUCACACCUUGAAGCCCAGGCACUUGCGAUGGGACCAGCGAGGUCAAAUGCAGGACCCCUGGUCCUCACUGUUACCAUGAAGUGAUGCAAAUGGCCGGUCUUCAGAAACCAGAGCUAGCCCCACCCGUGCCACCAAGGCACACCAGCCCCUGAGCAGUCGCAGGGCCCAGGCAGAAGGGUCCGGCAGGCUCCUCACUCAUGACGUGGCCUGAGGGGGCUGGGCAGCUGGUCCUCGGAGCCCCCACCUGGUGCACCAGGCCGUGAACCUCAGCAAAGGCCCCGUCUCUUGAUGCCCAAGGUUUGGCAAUGGUUGGGGGUUACUUUCUCCAGACCACAGCACCCUCGAGGCCAACACUGGGGAAAGCUGGAGCCCCUGCUCUUCACCCCCACCUCCCAGGGCUGUUGAACCCCAAGGAGCACCAGACCCAGGACCCCCCCAGGAGGGCCAGAGGCAGGAAGUGCCUGAUGGUGCCAGGGGAGGGUGGAUGCCUGACUAGGGCCUGAAAACAGAGGGCAUAGCUUCCAAUAAAGCAUGGAAAGAAAACAGCAUGAAUGGACCAGAAGUGCUUCCCAUUGGGAGAAAGAAGAGCACUCACAACCUCUUCUGCCCCAGGCUGCUUGGAGUGGGCCAGCGCCAGAGCAGUCCCUGCACCAGCCGAGCCGUCCGAGCUUGUCGACUAUCAGGGAAGGUGUGAGCCUUCGGCUGAGUGGUGCUGGGAGCUGGGGAGAGCCGAGCACUGCCCGGGGCCUCCUGAGUGCUCUGCCACCCGGCUGGGCAGGGAAGGGAGGGCCCCUCACAGAGGACACCCUUGUGGUCCUGGGGUCGCCUUUGUGACCGAGGGGGACGUAUGUGUGUCACCAUCAUCCUGCACGACUGCUUCCUGACUUUGGAACCGCUGUUUGCCUCUGUGUUUUGGGUGUGGACCUGGACCCCAGUGGCCCUUCCCCAAAGGUCGUGUGACCACCACCACCUUCCCGUGUCCCGUACCGCACACCUGUGCUCACCUGGGUGCCAGGCAGUGGCCCAGCAGGGAGGAGGAGGGUGAGCAGGUGGCAAAAUGCCCAUUCCUCGGUCCCAGCCUGUGUGUGGCUGAGGCCCCGCACGUAACUCUCCACGCUGGGCAUCGGCCUGGACUGUGCCUGGGUGCUCCCUGAGGCCCGGGUGGGAGGCAGCUGCUCCAGGACUCUCAGUGUCCCAGUCUGUGCCGUCAGCAGGAGGAUCAGGAGCCUCCCCUGCACCCUAUUUAAUAAGCUCUUGCUCGUUCCUGCUUGGGGUACAUGAAACAGAAACAGCCGAAUUGUCAAAGGUGUGAUUGAUAACGUGAAUUAGACAAGACCGGGCUAUUGGAUCAGUUGAAUUGAUCACUCAAAUGUGCUUGGACUGACCAAGUGCUGCAUGAAAGCUUGCCUGGCUCAGCCCUCCCACCCGGACACCAGCGGUGGGUACCGAGGAUGCCAAGCCCUGACCUGAUUGCUGCGCACCCAGGGAGGGGGAUGCCAGGCAGGCUCGUGCCACAUACGUGAGCCGCAGCCCCAGACCAACCAUGGGAGGAGCCACUCACCCCAAAGGCGGGCUCUGCACCUCUGCAUUUCUCAUGACUCGAGUGUGUCUGGCUUCCCCUGCCCAGCCACAGCCUCACUGGGUACUCACCCUGGACGCCAUAUUGCAGCUGGUGUCAGCCCUGCCCCGCAGCUCCACCUCCCUCCUCCUGAAAGCCCGGGGCACCUUCCAGAGGCCGAGCAGGUGGAAGGGGGCAGAGACCAGACAUCGCCAUUCUCAUCACUGACGGUGACGGGGGCCCCGGACGCCCUGAAGAGCCCUCAGCUGUGCGCUGACUCGCGCCUCUCCCCGUCCAGCGUGAAUGAGAUGAGAGACAGUGAGGACAAUGGUCCCAGGAAGGGACCCUCAAGAGAUGCCAAUCAAAUGCGUUGGACUCUCACCCAGUUUGGUGGGAACGUCUGGAGUCAUAGGACAGAGAGCUGAGGGGGCAAGGCUGAGGGGAGGUGCUCUGUGGAUGCAAGGGUGCCCACGGCCUCCAACAGGGCAUGGCAUGGCCUCCAGGCAUGCCGUGCAGCAGCAGUCAGGGCAGCCCAUGGACUCUGCGCCAGUCCUUGGUAGCUGAAGCCCAGAACCACUCUCACCUGACCCCACAUGUGGUCAGCUCUGGGGCCCCCAUCCACUGUAGUUGCCAGUGUGGAUGGUGCUUGCCCAGAGCCCAGGGUGGCACGGUGAACCGGACUCUGAUCUUCAGGGCAACUGUCUAGGCCGAUGGGGUGACGUCAGUGGUGCGCUCAGCUUGGAACACUGCAGGAAUGCAGCCGGGUGGGUGCUGGCUGGGAUCUUGGGGUCUGGGAGCUGGAGGAACAAGAGCCUCAGGAGCAAGGGCCCUGUCCAGACAGCAGCCGGGCCUCUGCCCACCUGGCACCCCGAGCUGGCUGCCCAGCCUCUCCUGAAGCUGAGAGCUGCCUUUUUGCUGCCUCCGGGCACCCACGCGGGCUGCCAGUUGUCUCGGAUCGGAGCCCCCUGCCUGGAGGCGUGAGCCGUGCUCCCAGCCAGCAGCUGUGAGUUGCCCCCACCCUGCCCCAGCCCUUCAUGUACUGUGGCUCUCCCUGGCCUUUGGGGCAAUCCAGUCGCCUUCAGGACUGUCUGCAGAGGCCCUGUCUCCCUGCAGCCAGAGAGAGCUCCAGCGCCAUCCACUUGUCCCUGAUCUGCCACACUCCUCAGCCCUGGCCCUCGGCCCUCGCUGUCUCUUCCCACACAUCCCAGGGCCCAGGAUCCGUGGAGAAGCCCCAGAAGGCACACGCUGCGCCCUGCAGACCUGCCACCGCUGCCUCGGGGUUCCCCUGGGAAAGGCACCCAGGGAGGGCCGGGCAGGGAAGCAGGAGCCCACUUGGCUCCUGCCAGAGAGUGAACAGAAGCAAAACGUGCCUUUGGUUAAUUUUUCUUCUAAUAGAAGUAAUUCAGAGUCAAAUGAAAUACCAUUUAAAUUUUCCAUGAAAAUAAUCACCCUGCUAUUUCACAUGAUUUUCCCAGGCUUUGUUGUAUGACUUGGAAACCAGGCUUGUUAUGAAGGAGGCAGAGUUGGGGUGUACAGCGAACAGGCAUUUCUCCCAAGCUCACGGGCACAUUUUUUCAAACUGUGUUUUUUAAUUGGCCUCUUCAUGUAUAAAUGAACAGUGUAACGGACAAGCAGGGCACCUUAAUCCCAACGCCACAGUCGGCCAGUUUGCGGGUUCAGGCCUCCUUUAUGAUACAUGCCACAAACACAAUAUCUUUGUAUUAAAAGGAUUUUUUUUUUUUGCUGAAA
RNA transcript from Homo sapiens (human), 4733 nucleotides. It is a transcript of the gene named MORN repeat containing 1, with no coding region annotated. The record is from RefSeq and is marked validated. NCBI's taxonomy places the organism in Eukaryota, Metazoa, Chordata, Mammalia, Primates, Hominidae. The transcript is spliced from 7 exons. The annotation marks the transcript as partial.